GAGUUUGAUCCUGGCUCAGCCUGAACGCUGGCGGCGUGGCUAAGACAUGCAAGUCGAACGGACGUAGCAAUACGUCAGUGGCGGACGGGUGAGUAAUGAAUCGCUAACGUACCCCGAGGCCUGGGAUAGCUGCCCGAAAGGGCAGGUAAUACCAGAUGAGACCACGGCAUCGCAUGAUGCAGUGCUCAAAGCCGCAAGGCACCUUGGGAGCGGGCGAUUUCGUAUCAGCUUGUUGGUGAGGUAACGGCUCACCAAGGCGACGACGCGUAACCGGACUGAGAGGUUGGCCGGUCACAUUGGGACUGAGACACUGCCCAGACUCCUACGGGGGGCUGCAGUAACGAAUCUUCCGCAAUGCACGAAAGUGUGACGGAGCGACGCCGCGUGUAGGACGAAGCCCUUCGGGGUGUAAACUACUGUCAGGGGAAAGAAAGUUCUGAUCUACCCCAGAGGAAGGGACGGGCUAACUCUGUGCCAGCCGCCGCCGUAAC
This 491-nucleotide ribosomal RNA is filed under the name uncultured Phycisphaerae bacterium. Its description in RNAcentral is "bacterial SSU rRNA". It matches the Rfam family "Bacterial small subunit ribosomal RNA", at positions 9 to 524 of the family's 1533-position model. Lineage: Bacteria; Pseudomonadati; Planctomycetota; Phycisphaerae. The record is from RNAcentral.